RNAcentral lists this transfer RNA (73 nucleotides) under Stegodyphus mimosarum. It matches the Rfam family "tRNA". Rfam says of the family: Transfer RNA (tRNA) molecules are approximately 80 nucleotides in length. The record is from Rfam by way of RNAcentral. Lineage: Eukaryota; Metazoa; Arthropoda; Arachnida; Araneae; Eresidae.
ACCUUCGUGGUGUAGUGGUCUGCAUGUUCGACGCGUAACCGAGAGGUCCGUGGUUCGAUUCCUGGCGAAGGCG